UGUGGAGCAAUUUAUGGGAAGAAUAGGUGGCAAUAGCACGUGUAAAGGGGAUGAGACAUUGAUCGAAGCGAAGAGAGGUGGACUGAAUAUGGAUGUUCCCAUUAUGGGUGGAACAAAUGAUGUGGUGGGAGGGUGUUAAGAUGGUAUAUCAUUGGACACUAGGAAAGAAAGAGAAGUGGUGGCCGAAGAAGGGGAGAUAUUUUCCGAGGGAGAAUGCGUGGAAGUAGGAAGGGAAUAGAAAAGGGAGUUUGAGGCAAGAGGUGGUGAGUUGAAAUACCAACUAUGGAGAAUGUGUGAGUUAAUUUUGUCAUGCUUAGUAAAAGUAGGUAGAGAUGGAAACGAGGCCUCAU
RNAcentral lists this long non-coding RNA (350 nucleotides) under Vitis vinifera (wine grape). Its description in RNAcentral is "long non-coding RNA (VVIN_LNC006695)". Lineage: Eukaryota; Viridiplantae; Streptophyta; Magnoliopsida; Vitales; Vitaceae. The record is from RNAcentral.